Molecule: ribosomal RNA, 482 nt
Filed under: uncultured bacterium
Lineage: Bacteria
Description: partial 16S ribosomal RNA
Rfam family: Bacterial small subunit ribosomal RNA
Source: RNAcentral
AUUGAACGCUGGCGGCAUGCCUUACACAUGCAAGUCGAACGGUAACAGGUCUUCGGAUGCUGCCGAGUGGCGGACGGGUGCGUAAUACAUCGGAACGUGCCCAGACGUGGGGGUUAACGAGGCGAAAGCUUUGCUAAUACCGCAUACGAUCUAAUGCUGCAAGCAGGGGACCGCAAGGCCUUGUGCGUUUUUAGCGGCCGAUGGCAGAUUAGGUAGUUGGUGGGAUAAAAGCUUACCAAGCCGACGAUCUGUAGCUGGUCUGAGAGGACGACCAGCCACACUGGGACUGAGACAUGGCCCAGACUCCUACGGGAGGCAGCAGUGGGGAAUUUUGGACAAAGGGCGAAAGCCUGAUCCAGCAAUGCCGCGUGCAGGAUGAAGGCCUUCGGGUUGUAAACUGCUUUUGUACGGAACGAAAAGGCUCUGGCUAAUACCUGGGGCACAUGACGGUACCGAAAGAAUAAGCACCGGCUAACUACGUG